UCAAUUCAAGUAAGCUUCGUGACCAACAAGGAGUUCUUUCUGCCCCUUCAGUUUGAAACUGCUUUCUAAACUAAUGUGUAAAUUCUAAUUGGGGAAUUUUUAUUUUUUGGUUAACUUAGGGCAGUUGCCCAAGUUGGGGAGCAUGUGAAGUUUGAAGCUUGUAUAGAUGUUAUGGAUCUGCUUUAUGAAAAUGAAGAGUAUUGCUGUAGAAUACAGAAUCACUACCUAUGUAGUUAUAGAAAGAUUUAGGUUGUUAAUAUCUUUCAUAUUUCUUUUAUUUAAGAAGCUCGGGUUGGCUAUGUUUUGCAGGUGAACUCGCUCGUGUUGGUGGAGGCUCAUUAGUGUAAUUGAGUUUAUCAUCUUGGCGGAUCAAGUAGAUGGGAGUCGAUGAGCUAUGAGGACUACUACAAAAGAGAAGGCUGAAGCAGAGAACGUCGUUUCAAAUGUCUAGCAAGUUGCGCGCAUUUGUAAUAUUUUUUAAUUAAUCAUAUAGCUAACUAGAAUAUUUGUGUUGUUUUCAUUAUAUUUGGAUGAUAAUGUAUGAAUAUUUCGGAUGUUAUAUAAUAUAUGUUAUCGAUGGCAA
Long non-coding RNA from Salvia miltiorrhiza (redroot sage), 583 nucleotides. RefSeq lists it as uncharacterized. Lineage: Eukaryota; Viridiplantae; Streptophyta; Magnoliopsida; Lamiales; Lamiaceae. The record is from RefSeq and is a predicted model, not a curated record. The transcript has 2 exons.